AUGCGGCGGCGCAAACUGCCGCCGCCCGGCGGUCCUAUUGAGAGGAGGAGGAGGAAGUUGGAGUUGGAGGAGCAUGAACCUCCGCCUGUUGACCUCAUCAGCACUCUCCCCGACGAGCUCCUCGGCGAGAUCAUCUCCCUCCUCCAAAUUAAGGACGCCGCCCGCACCCAGAUCCUAGCUUCCCGGUGGCGCCGCCUCUGGCGCUCCACCCCCCUCAACCUCGACUGCUGUCAUUUGUUCUCCAUCAAGGACGAAGACAUGUCCUAUCUCUGCCCAUCGCUCGUCCUUUCAGCCCACCCGGGCCCCGGCCGCCGCUUUUGCCUCACGACGAACUCCUCAAUGACUACCCCUACCUUGGACCACUGGCUUCGGUCCGCCGCUCUGGAUAACCUACAGGAGCUUGAGUUCGCCCGCCACGGGUUCACCUCCCCAGUGCCGGCAUCAAUCUCCCACUUUGCACACAGCCUCCGUGUCGCAAACAUCAGGCACUGCACGCUCCAGGACGCCGCCGUCCAAGGGCUUCAUUUUCCCCAGCUUAAGCAGCUCGGGCUCGAAUGUGUCCACGUCUCGGAGUCCUCGGUGCACCGCCUGAUCGCCGGAUGCCCCGCACUAGAGUUCUUGCUGAUCCUCAGUAGCUCCGGCUUCCACAGCCUCCGGAUCAACUCCCUCAGCCUUAGAAAAUUAUGCAUACGCACCUCCGGAUCAACUCAGCCCCAGUUCGGGGAACUCAUCAUUGAAAACGCCCCUCGUCUUGAGAGCUUGAUUCAUCUGUAUAAGAUUUGGAGGAUCGGUGAUCUGUCCGUAUACACCGCGCCUAAAGUGGACGCCUUGGACUUCCUUGCUGAUUUGAAAGGAUUUCGUCAGGGCACGUCAUCGCAUGUUAACUUUGCCACAUUCUUUCUACUGAACGCGAGAAUGCUGGAGCUGAUGACAUUUCAUAUCGAGGCCAGUAUUUACAGCGACGAGUUCUUGGUAGAACAACGUAAGAGGCUUCAGCUAGAUAACAGGGCUUCAAGAGGUGCUCGGAUUCGUUUUACAACUGCUAGCGGUCAACAUGCUGUUUGGAGCACCAAGCAUCUCGGCGAGUUUGACUUGAAUGAUGAUCCUUUCACAUGUAGAUGUUGA
This 1125-nucleotide ribosomal RNA is filed under the name Triticum aestivum (bread wheat). RNAcentral's name for it is "partial small subunit ribosomal RNA". Lineage: Eukaryota; Viridiplantae; Streptophyta; Magnoliopsida; Poales; Poaceae. The record is from RNAcentral.